AAGAGGGAACCCGGUGUGAAUCCGGGACUGCCCCGCAGCGGUAAGUGGGAACGAACGCCGUCAACAGCACUGGACCAGGCAUCGGUCCGGGAAGCGACGGCCAGUAGGACGACCGGCCCGGCGCCGGAACCGCCCGCGAGUCCGAAGACCU
This 151-nucleotide non-coding RNA is filed under the name Saccharomonospora sp. Lineage: Bacteria; Bacillati; Actinomycetota; Actinomycetes; Pseudonocardiales; Pseudonocardiaceae. The record is from RNAcentral.